Chroicocephalus ridibundus (black-headed gull) is the source of this 3366-nucleotide long non-coding RNA. RefSeq lists it as uncharacterized. Lineage: Eukaryota; Metazoa; Chordata; Aves; Charadriiformes; Laridae. The record is from RefSeq and is a predicted model, not a curated record. The transcript has 6 exons.
GAUCUAUACAGCAGGAUUGUGGUCCGUAGUGCUCGCCUUUCUGCAUCAGGGAUACACAGACCCGGGUGUUUUCAAGACGGUUGUGCUGCCGACGGAGCCUGAGCCGGGGUAACAGCACAGCGCGGCUGCGGUCGAGGGGCUCGGAGACUUGUCCACGCGGAGGAUCUGCCAGUGCGGGCAGUGGCAGAGCAAGUCCUUGUCCUUGAACCUAAGAAAGAAAGAGCCCUUUGGGCUUCCUACAGUCUUUGACUACAAUAGGAGUGGGUCCUUAAGAAAACGCUAAUGAAAGUUCUGCUCUGAAGGUCCGAUUCUGGAAAGAGAGAACAAUUUCUUGCUGAGAGAUGACUUCAUGGAGUUCAUGUCCUAGGACAAGGUCUCGGCGGCCAUAGGAAGAGGCAGGAGAGCGCUACAGUUGCUUCCACCUGUGGCUAGAAGCGUCUGUCAGCUGCAAGGCCAGUGUGCGGCCAGAACUGCCACAAGCAAAGGCUAUUGAAGUGCUCGGGACCAGAUGUUCUUGCAACACGGACAAUGGUUAAACAACAUUAACAGCGUUAACACAUGAACACAGUGAAGGUUCCUUCUCUGAGUUUCAAAUGCGAGAGUGUAAGGUGGACCCCUCACAGCUGUGAAAAACUGUCUCCUGCCCAAACCUGGCUAUUACCUCAAUGUGAUGAUAAGGUUUUCAUGUCAUUCCAUUCUUUGAGAAACAAGUGUCAGCUGACUUUGACUUACCACCGAGUCAGAAUACCGCUUCACUUCAAAAGGAAUCUGCACAGAGCCGCCGACACGGAUGCCGCGAGUGGAGCAGAGGGACCCCGCCGUGCUCAGCCAAGCUGCGAUUUCACAACAGCAACGACGUGCCCAUGUUAGUGGAGAACAGAUAAUUCCUCAGCAUCCGAUCUGUCUCUCUAAGAUCUCUUGCUAGCCUCGCUGACCCUUCGCAGAGGAUGACGCUGAUGUCGUGCAGUGCUGCUUCACCUGGAAGCCAUCUCCCACCGUCAGCCGAAUCCCUCCCAUCCUGCCUGAUGCCCAGCCCUCCAGCAGCACGCACGCAGCCCGCCUGCCUAUCCACAUGGCCAGCCUCUGCCUGCGGCCGAACGACGGGAACGUAACUCCACUCACCUGUGACUGCGUUUUACAGCGCUCCCUCUCUCACCAGCACUGCCUGGUUCCACUGCCGAGAAAUUAGAUCAAAUAAAAGCUCAAUUGUUUUGCAAUGAAUUGCAGCGAGGCAGCACUGUCAGUUUAAUUAGCUCUUAACUCCAAGCUCGAAGCCUCUAAUAAAGGUGCUCAGGAGCAGACGGUUAGUGGAAAUAAAACGAAUGAUGGCAGCGUUGUUUCUAACAGGCUGGUGCUCUUCAGAAGGGAAUGGUGCACGGGGAACUUCUCUGCGACUCACCAAGCCCGUAACCAGCUGUGUGAUCCAGAGCACAGAGAGCGGGGAAAUCGGCUGGAAAAGAUCACACACGUUGCGUUGGGCCUGGUACAAAUUACUUUAGGGGGAAACUUCCUCCCAUAUGAAAGUUCAACUUAGGCUGGAACACAACAUAAGCCUUAUUUUUCAAUGUUUUCAGUGGAUUUUGACAACGGAGACCCUGUGGUGGCCUGUUAAACCAUGUAAGAUAUAAUCUUUAAGGAUUUUAAAGGAAAGAUUCCUAGAGGCAUGUCCUGGAUAAUAACAAAUCUCUCAAGAGGGCUUGAAUCUGCAGAAGAGGAAUCGGCUAAAACCAGCCAAUUCAUGGUUGCUUACUUAUUGACAUGGGACUGCUUCAGCCCCUGCUGUAGCCUGGAAAGGUGGGAAUGAAGGUGUGAAUUUAGUUUCUCUGACAACUUUGAUAUGUUUUUUUCAUAGCUGAUGGAAAUCUGAACUAUAGGCAGUGCAGGGUAAAGUGAGGGUGACCGAGCACUGGCACAGGUUGCCCAGGGAGGCUGUGGACUCUCCAUCCCUGGAGAUAUUCGAAAGCCAUCAGGACACGGUCCUGGGCAACUGACUCCAGGUGGCUCUGCUUGAGCAGGGGCCUGGACCAGAUGACCUCCAGAGGUCCCUUCCAACCUCAACCAUUCCAUGGUUCUGGGGACUGGAGCAGCGUCCAGUCCAGAGCAGGCUCAGAAGCGCCUGUUCACUCCUGUACUGAUGAGCUGCUCUGUUCAGUCCCCAUUUCCUGAGGAGGAUCUGCUUUUCACUGGACAGUCUUGGACAUAAGUGACCAUUGUGCUGGCAGCUGGAUGGUUUUGGGAAGUACAAAUAAAUGUGGCUCCAAAGGAACAGAGAAGUCUUGUUCUACUUUUAUCUCUCUUUUUUCUCCCCAUAGGGAAGGAGUGAGGUGUACACAGCCAACUGGGUCACCUCUGUGGGUGUCAAAGAGGGUGAAUAAUUGCUAAUUUUUAUUUGAUUCAUUUUACACCUUUCCUCUCCUUGGCCACCUGAAGUUCUACUGAGCAGUUGAUAACUUCCCUGGAAAUAAGUCAUCAUAGCAAACCCUUCCGUGAAAAGUUUUUGGGCUGUAGCUUAUGGUACAUAGAUCAUUUACAGCAUUUGCUGUUAAUGAUAACUGUUUUUAUUGGGCCAUUCAGUCUUGGGUAAUACUACGACGCCCUCACUGGAGGGACAGUAAAUACAUAAAUCACAUGUUUACAAUGAUGAAUCAACUAUUAUGACUUUUAAAAACUUUGUUUUCUGAAAGUAUUUGCUCUCUUUGCUUGAAACAUAUUGUUCAUGCCAACACAUUUGCUAAGAAGUUUGCAAAAAAAACCGAAGACAAAACAGAUAAACGGAGAAAACACAUAUGUUUUAAAAUGGGAGACUCAUUUUUCUAAGAACAUUUGUAUGUUUGUCAAAGUCCCCAAGUACGAGCAGUUUUUUUCAUUUGACUGAGACAGACUUGCAGCCCAACUAGACUUGAUGUGAAUUAGUAAGCGAGACCCUCCAAAAUCUGCUGCUACAGGAGAAACAUGUUGCUGUAUCCAAAACAUCCAGAGGGGAAUUAUGCAAAGAGAUUACUCAUCACCGAAGCAAAGUCUUAAUUGCAAGUUCCCAGCGCUGAUUGAUGUCUGGGCCACAGCACCAACUCCUCUCCCUGCGCGCGUCCCCUUUUGCGAUAGGAAAAGGUUUUUGCCUCCCCUGCAACCGAUGGUGGCUGAGACUUGACUCUGAUCCCACCCCUCAGGAAUAACCAUUGCAACAGCACGGAGCUGAGCGGAGGGUGGUCCCGUAACACCCGCCCAGGCUGGUGGCCAGCAGGACAUCGAGCCCACGGUCAGGAACUGAACUGUGCACCCACCUGCCAGCUCUGGCUGUAGCGGCCGUGCCCCUGACGACGUCUCUUUUGCUGGAUGGGAGUAAACUAGACACAGUCUGAAUUCCUG